UACGUAGGGUCCAAGCGUUAUCCGGAAUCACUGGGCGUAAAGCGUGCGUAGGCGGGUGUUUAAGUGCAAUGCGAAAUCCUGUGGCUCAACCAUAUGGACUGUAUUGCAUACUGGAUACCUGGAGGAAUGCAGAGGCAAGUGGAAUUACCGGUGUAGCAGUGAAAUGCGUAGAGAUCGGUAGGAACACCAAUGGCGAAGGCAGCUUGCUGGGCAUUUUCUGACGCUAAGGCACGAAAGCGUGGGGAGCGAACAGG
RNAcentral lists this ribosomal RNA (254 nucleotides) under uncultured bacterium. RNAcentral describes it as "partial 16S ribosomal RNA". It matches the Rfam family "Bacterial small subunit ribosomal RNA", at positions 524 to 776 of the family's 1533-position model. The record is from RNAcentral.